ACUGAGCUGGCUCAGUCAGUAGAGCAGGUGACUCUUGAUCUUAGGGUUGUGAGUUCAAGCCUCAUGUUGGGUG
Molecule: transfer RNA, 73 nt
Filed under: Mustela putorius furo (domestic ferret)
Lineage: Eukaryota; Metazoa; Chordata; Mammalia; Carnivora; Mustelidae
Rfam family: tRNA
About the family: Transfer RNA (tRNA) molecules are approximately 80 nucleotides in length. Their secondary structure includes four short double-helical elements and three loops (D, anti-codon, and T loops).
Source: Rfam by way of RNAcentral